AGCUUUGAGCAGUGGCAGUCUCAUAGCCAAUAAGGUCUAUUCGAGGCUCAAUUAUUGCUAAUUGGAAACUUUUCCCAAUACCCUGUCAAGAGGACUUGAAAUACAGUCGGCAUUGGCAAUUUUUGACAGUCUCUGUAGAGA
This 141-nucleotide small nuclear RNA is filed under the name Dasypus novemcinctus (nine-banded armadillo). RNAcentral's name for it is "U4 spliceosomal RNA (ENSDNOG00000046656.1)". It matches the Rfam family "U4 spliceosomal RNA". Rfam says of the family: U4 small nuclear RNA (U4 snRNA) is a component of the major U2-dependent spliceosome. The record is from RNAcentral. Lineage: Eukaryota; Metazoa; Chordata; Mammalia; Cingulata; Dasypodidae.